Pelobates cultripes (western spadefoot toad) is the source of this 206-nucleotide non-coding RNA. Lineage: Eukaryota; Metazoa; Chordata; Amphibia; Anura; Pelobatidae. The record is from the annotation of a GenBank genome assembly.
UCUCCGUACUAAAUUAUUAAGUACAUAUCACAACCCAAAGCAGCUAGACAUCCAGGCAAAAAACAGUUAAUCUGGUCCGUCUGGUCUGGCUGUCUUCCCGCUACCUACAGCUUCGUGUUCCCUCACAAAAACUGGCACCCUGGUACGUUGGGCCAUUUUGUAUACUUCAAAGGGUUAACUCUGUAGCUUAUGCACUUGACCUUCCU